CCGGCGACCGGCGCACGGGUGAGUAACACGUAUGCAACCUGGCCGUGACAGAUGGAUAACCGGGAGAAAUCCCGCCUAAUACAGCAUGACGCCGGGAAGGGACAUCCCUUUCCGGCCAAAGGGGGCGACUCCGGUCACGGAUGGGCAUGCGGCGCAUUAGGUAGUUGGUGGGGCAACGGCCCACCAAGCCGACGAUGCGUAGGGGUUCUGAGAGGAAGGUCCCCCACAUUGGAACUGAGACACGGUCCAAACUCCUACGGAAGGCAGCAG
RNAcentral lists this ribosomal RNA (270 nucleotides) under uncultured bacterium. RNAcentral describes it as "partial 16S ribosomal RNA". It matches the Rfam family "Bacterial small subunit ribosomal RNA", at positions 88 to 354 of the family's 1533-position model. The record is from RNAcentral.